This 503-nucleotide ribosomal RNA is filed under the name uncultured Glomus. RNAcentral's name for it is "SSU rRNA". It matches the Rfam family "Eukaryotic small subunit ribosomal RNA", at positions 569 to 1074 of the family's 1831-position model. The record is from RNAcentral. Lineage: Eukaryota; Fungi; Glomeromycota; Glomeromycetes; Glomerales; Glomeraceae.
AGCAGCCGCGGUAAUUCCAGCUCCAAUAGCGUAUAUUAAAGUUGUUGCAGUUAAAAAAGCUCGUAGUUGAAUUUCGGGACCAAUAUGUCGGUCGUGCUUCGGUACGUACUUGCAUUAUUGGUUUCUCCCUUCUGAAGAACCAUGAUGUCAUUAAUUUGGUGUCUUGGGGAAUCAGGACUGUUACUUUGAAAAAAUUAGAGUGUUUAAAGCAGGCUCACGCUUGAAUACAUUAGCAUGGAAUAAUGAAAUAGGACGUUUGAUUCUAUUUUGUUGGUUUCUAGGAUCGACGUAGUGAUUAAUAGGGAUAGUUGGGGGCAUUAGUAUUCAAUUGUCAGAGGUGAAAUUCUUGGAUUUAUUGAAGACUAACUACUGCGAAAGCAUUUGCCAAGGAUGUCUUCAUUAAUCAAGAACGAAAGUUAGGGGAAUCGAAGACGAUCAGAUACCGUCGUAGUCUUAACCAUAAACUAUGCCGACUAGGGAUCGGAUGAUGUUAUUUUUGAUGA